UGGUUCCUAUUAUACUAUGUCUUUGGUUAACUCACUCUUGUCAAUUUCAGGAAGACUAUUUUCUGUCACCUGAAGUAAACAAAGUCAUCACUUAUACUAUGAUGUUGGUAUAUUUUACAGGGAAAGAUUAGCUUAUUACAUCUUUGGAGAAAUGGGAAGAAGUCAUUCUAGAUCUCCUUCAAGUACAGGCCGUAGCCACAGCAGGUCUAGAUCACAGAACAGAGACAGAAACAGAGAUCAUGACAGGAACAGUAACAGAAGACCUAAAGAAAGAGAGAGAUUCCGUAGCAGAUCACCUAACAGACAUCGUAGCAGGUCACCCAGGCAUAAUUCCAUGUCUCAGAGGAGAUCGUCACCACCUCGUAGGUGGUCACAUUCAAGAUAUUCUUUUGCCUCAGGCUCAAGAAGAUAUGAAGAUGAAGAAGAAGAAGAAGAAACUGUUACCAGUUAUCUUCUUGACGAACAAAACAUAACAGGGUAAACGUGUUUUAGGAAAUGAUGUCUAUUCCAUUAUUUCAGUCCAGAAAGGGGAACACAGGUGAUUUUAGGAAUGGAGAAGGAACCUGUAGCUGUACUUCAGUUCAACAUAAAUGUUAUGAUUUAGUACUUCUCAUUUGAAUAAAGUGUUUUUCAUAUUAAAUGUAUCUGUAUACAUUCAUGUUGUUUGUGUAUAAGAGAUAAACUAUACUCACUACAGCCAUUAACAUGAAUAGUGCAAGACUAGCGUUAAAUCAUACAAUGGCCAUUAACAUGGAAUAGUGCAAGACUAGCGUUAAAUCAUACAAUGGCCAUUAACAUGAAUAGUGCAAGACUAGUGUUAAAUCAUACUAAGGCCAUUAACAUGAAUAGUGCAAGACUAGCAUUAAAUCAUACAAUGGCCAUUAACAUGAAUAGUGCAAGACUAGCGUUAAAUCAUACAAUGGCCAUUAACAUGAAUAGUGCAAGACAGUGUUAAAUCAUACAAUGGCCAUUAACAUGAGUAGUGCAAGACCAGUGUUAAAUCAUACAAUGGCCAUUAACAUGAAUAGUGCAAGACCAGUGUUAAAUCAUACAAUAGCCAUUAACAUGAAUAGUGCAAGACUAGCGUUAAAUCAUACAAUGGCCAUUAACAUGAAUAGUGCAAGACUAGUGUUAAAUCAUACAACGGCCAUUAACUUACUUGAACAAUGUUAGACUUCUGUCCAUGCGUUGCAUAACUUGAAUAACUCUAACAUCAGGCAGCAGUCAAGCGAAAGUCUUAGUACCUUUAACUAAAGUUUUGAUAAAGUAUUUGAAAGUGAAAAUGGAAUUGUGAAGUUUACAUUAAUAUGCACAUUUUUUAUAUUUUAUUUGCACCGUAUACAAUGUAAGCUUUAUGGGUAGAUAUAACGGUGAAUUGUAAGUUUAAAAUAUUUUAGUCUUUUCAAUUUUUUGAUUGCAUUAUAAUUGUAUCAGUUUGUGUGCAUAGGACAGUAAACUGCAGGUUUAUAAAACGUAUAAACAUUUUGAAAACUUUAAA
RNAcentral lists this unclassified non-coding RNA (1498 nucleotides) under Limulus polyphemus (Atlantic horseshoe crab). Lineage: Eukaryota; Metazoa; Arthropoda; Merostomata; Xiphosura; Limulidae. The record is from RNAcentral.